Molecule: ribosomal RNA, 586 nt
Filed under: Salmonella enterica subsp. enterica serovar Stanleyville
Lineage: Bacteria; Pseudomonadati; Pseudomonadota; Gammaproteobacteria; Enterobacterales; Enterobacteriaceae
Description: partial 23S ribosomal RNA
Rfam family: Bacterial large subunit ribosomal RNA
Source: RNAcentral
CCUUUUGUAUAAUGGGUCAGCGACUUAUAUUCUGUAGCAAGGUUAACCGCAUAGGGGAGCCGGAGGGAAACCGAGUCUUAAUUGGGCGUUAAGUUGCAGGGUAUAGACCCGAAACCCGGUGAUCUAGCCAUGGGCAGGUUGAAGGUUGGGUAACACUAACUGGAGGACCGAACCGACUAAUGUUGAAAAAUUAGCGGAUGACCUGUGGCUGGGGGUGAAAGGCCAAUCAAACCGGGAGAUAGCUGGUUCUCCCCGAAAGCUAUUUAGGUAGCGCCUCGUGAAUUCAUCUCCGGGGGUAGAGCACUGUUUCGGCUAGGGGGCCAUCCCGGCUUACCAACCCGAUGCAAACUGCGAAUACCGGAGAAUGUUAUCACGGGAGACACACGGCGGGUGCUAACGUCCGUCGUGAAGAGGGAAACAACCCAGACCGCCAGCUAAGGUCCCAAAGUCAUGGUUAAGUGGGAAACGAUGUGGGAAGGCCCAGACAGCCAGGAUGUUGGCUUAGAAGCAGCCAUCAUUUAAAGAAAGCGUAAUAGCUCACUGGUCGAGUCGGCCUGCGCGGAAGAUGUAACGGGGCUAAACCAUG